This 116-nucleotide ribosomal RNA is filed under the name Camelus dromedarius (Arabian camel). Lineage: Eukaryota; Metazoa; Chordata; Mammalia; Artiodactyla; Camelidae. The record is from RNAcentral. RNAcentral also lists the same sequence under 1 other name.
GUCUAUGGCCAUACCACCCUGAAUGCACCCGAUCUCGUCUGAUCUCGGAAGCUAAGCAGGGUCGGGCCUAGUUAGUACUUGGAUGGGAAACAUAUAUGCACCUGACAACAUAUAAC